AAUUCGAUGCAACGCGAAGAACCUUACCUGGUCUUGACAUCCACAGAACUUUCCAGAGAUGGACUGGUGCCUUCGGGAACUGUGAGACAGGUGCUGCAUGGCUGUCGUCAGCUCGUGUUGUGAAAUGUUGGGUUAAGUCCCGCAACGAGCGCAACCCUUAUCCUUUGUUGCCAGCGAUUAGGUCGGGAACUCAAAGGAGACUGCCAGUGAUAAACUGGAGGAAGGUGGGGAUGACGUCAAGUCAUCAUGGCCCUUACGACCAGGGCUACACACGUGCUACAAUGGCGCAUACAAAGAGAAGCGACCUCGCGAGAGCAAGCGGACCUCAUAAAGUGCGUCGUAGUCCGGAUUGGAGUCUGCAACUCGACUCCAUGAAGUCGGAAUCGCUAGUAAUCGUGGAUCAGAAUGCCACGGUGAAUACGUUCCCGGGCCUUGUACACACCGCCCGUCACACCAUGGGAGUGGGUUGCAAAAGAAGUAGGUAGCUUAACCUUCGGGAGGGCGCUUACCACUUUGUGAUUCAUGACUGGGGUGAAGUCGUAACAAGGUAACCGUAGGGGAACCUGCGGUUGGAUCACCUCCUUACCUUAAAGAA
RNAcentral lists this ribosomal RNA (595 nucleotides) under Salmonella enterica. Its description in RNAcentral is "bacterial SSU rRNA". It matches the Rfam family "Bacterial small subunit ribosomal RNA", at positions 948 to 1533 of the family's 1533-position model. Lineage: Bacteria; Pseudomonadati; Pseudomonadota; Gammaproteobacteria; Enterobacterales; Enterobacteriaceae. The record is from RNAcentral.